Molecule: long non-coding RNA, 2220 nt
Filed under: Gossypium barbadense (sea-island cotton)
Lineage: Eukaryota; Viridiplantae; Streptophyta; Magnoliopsida; Malvales; Malvaceae
Description: long non-coding RNA (GBAR_LNC020299)
Source: RNAcentral
AUUAACUUAGUGUUAAUACACUAUUUGGUACCUGAAUUUGUAACACCCCCUAACCCCAAACCGUCGCCGGAACAGGGCUACGAGGCAUUACCGGACAUAUCAAACAAUUUACAAAUAAUUCUAAAUAAAUAACCAACAUAUUAAAAUACUUCAUAAAUUGUUAUAAAUUUGUACUAAUUGAUUUCAUUCAUUUUUUUUUAAAAUUUCGGCAGCAUUUCGACUUAUUUUUACGUUAAACCCCCUGCAAAAUUUCAAACAUAACCAACCCAAUUUCAGUAUUUCAACCAAGGCAUUUAUAUACUUAAUCCUACUUGACAUAUAGACAUAACAACUUAAGUAAAUAAAAUCCUAUUAUCAUUUCUAAUUAACACAUAAAACUAACUAAGCCAUUUCAACUUGAUACCAAUGCUAAAAAAAACUUAUACCAUUUUUCUAAUAUAAUCAUCAAAACACAUAAUAUCUUACUUUACAACAAAACUAUAUAACAUGCCAAAAUAACUAUUAUAAAUCCUAUGUACAUGCCACUUUCUCUUAAAGGAAGAAAACAUCACCAAAAUCUUUAUGUCGGAGUCGGGGUUGUCCUCGAUGCUGAACCGAGAUACUAACCCCUUUUCAACCUGCGCACAGAAACAACCGUACGCUGAGUAUUUUAUACUCAGUGGUAUUACUAUAAAUUAAACUAUUUAAUAAUAAUAAAAUUUCAAAUAUUGACCAUAGUCUUUAAAAAAAAUCACUUUAAACUAAAUAUAAAUAUUCAUAUAUCAUUCCAUAAAUCUGAAAUUUAUAUAUUUAAAUAUUUACAUACUAAAUCAAUUCAUAAUUUAUAUCAUACAUUCUUUCUCAUAUUUUUCAAUAGUGUCAAAUCAACUAAUCUCAUUUUUAAAUUUCCAUUUUAAUUAUUUACCCUAUUAACAAGGCUCGGACUCUGACAGAUACGCGGAUUCCACCCAAACACACCAAAAUAUCCAACCUAAACACACCCGAAAUAAUUUAAAUCCUCCAUAACACACCAGUAUAUCAUAACCUCCCAAACACACCAAUAAGGCAUUUAAUGCCUCUUCGGAUAAACCGAAGCAUUUAAUAACAUAGUCAUCUUCUCGGCCGAACUACAAAUCUCCUCAUCACAUCACAAAUCCUAUGGCAUGCCAUUUGUAUCCAAUCUAAUUCGAUAAGUUAAUAGGGUAUUAUUUUACUUUUCCUAUUUCGAAUUCAUUUCCACAACAAUUUCAAAUAUUCAAUCAAUACAAAACAUCUAUUAUUUCAAUUCACAUAUAAUUCAAUAUACACAUAUUCUUACUUAAUUUCAAAUGUUAAUACUUACCUUCCUUUAAAUGUCUCAUGAAUACAAUUUCAAUAUAGCAUUUAUUAAAUAGAUUAAGUUAUAGUAAUACAAACCCGGAAUACGCGUUUACUUCUCAACGAUCUUUUCUUUUCCUUUAGAUGCCGAUGCCUCGUUUUCCUUGUUAGCUACGAAAAUAAUAAUUAUUUUCACUUUUAAUUAUAAUCAUUAAAAUAAUAAUAAUAAUUAUAUUAACAAUAAUAAUAAUAAAAUUUUUAUUCAAUUCCUACUUAUUCCCAAUUUAAUUCUAACUAAGCUUACUUAUUUUUCUAACUUAAUUCACACUCUAUUUCUAUUCAAAUUCCUUCUAAAUCCAAAUUUAUCUACUAAUUUUUCAGCAUUUUUCACUAAUUUCGAAUUUUCCUCAAUUUAAUCCCUAAAAUUCAAAACUUAUAGUUUAGUUCACAAUUUAAUCCUUUUAUCAACUCUAACUAGAAACUCUAUCAAAUAAACCCUCAAUUCCAUCAUUUAUUCAACAUAAACCCUAAUUUAAGGCUUUUUAUAACUUAAUCCCAAUUAUGUAAAACUUACAACUUAGUUCACAAAUCAUUCUUUUUAUCUAUUCUAACUAAAAAUUCUAUCAACUAAACCCCUAAUUUAACAACUUGUUCAAAAUGAAUCAUGUUCAAAAACCUAUGAACUUCCAUAACCUCCACUUAACUUCAACAAAAUUUUGUUUUAAAGCUUUUAAAAUAUCAAAAUGAAGAGGAAAGGGCUAAAUUUAGCUUACCAAUUAACUUGAAGCUUUAAAUCCUUAGUUUUCCCUUUUAUUUUUCUUUCCCCUUUUUCUUCCCCUGUUUUCGUCUCUUUCCCUGCUUCUUUUCUAGCUAUUCUGUUUCUUUUCUUCUUUGUUUCUUUCUUUCUUGUACUUUAUAUCUUUU